AUACGGAGGAUCCGAGCGUUAUCCGGAUUUAUUGGGUUUAAAGGGUGCGCAGGCGGGAGAUUAAGUCGGCGGUGAAAUUUUGCAGCUCAACUGUAAAAGUGCCUUCGAAACUGGUUUCCUUUAGUGUAGAUGAAGUAGGCGGAAUUUGUGGUGUAGCGGUGAAAUGCAUAGAUAUCACGAGGAACUCCGAUUGCGCAGGCAGCUUACUAAACUACUACUGACGCUCAGGCACGAAGGCGUGGGGACCAGACAGGAUUAGAUACCCUGGUAGUCCACGCAGUAAACGAUGAUUACUAGCUGUUUGCGAUACAAUGUAAGCGGCUGAGCGAAAGCGUUAAGUAAUCCACCUGGGGAGUACGUUCGCAAGAAUGAAACUCAAAUGAAUUGACGGGG
RNAcentral lists this ribosomal RNA (393 nucleotides) under uncultured bacterium. Its description in RNAcentral is "partial 16S ribosomal RNA". It matches the Rfam family "Bacterial small subunit ribosomal RNA", at positions 523 to 918 of the family's 1533-position model. The record is from RNAcentral.